UACGUAGGGGGCGAGCGUUAUCCGGAAUUACUGGGCGUAAAGGGUGAGUAGGCGGUUGUAUAUGUCAGGUGUAAAAGGCUAUGGCUUAACCAUGGUUAGCACUUGAAACUGUACAACUUGAGUGCAGGAGAGGUAAGUGGAAUUCCUAGUGUAGCGGUGAAAUGCGUAGAUAUUAGGAGGAACACCAGUGGCGAAGGCGACUUACUGGACUGUAACUGAGCUGAGUCACGAAAGCGUGGGUAUCAAACAGGAUUAGAUACCCUGGUAGUCCCU
This 273-nucleotide ribosomal RNA is filed under the name uncultured prokaryote. Its description in RNAcentral is "partial 16S ribosomal RNA". It matches the Rfam family "Bacterial small subunit ribosomal RNA", at positions 524 to 798 of the family's 1533-position model. The record is from RNAcentral.